Non-coding RNA from Corylus avellana, 1301 nucleotides. Lineage: Eukaryota; Viridiplantae; Streptophyta; Magnoliopsida; Fagales; Betulaceae. The record is from RefSeq and is a predicted model, not a curated record.
GCCAAGGAUGAGUGUAGGCCAUAUGAUGAAAGUUGUAUCGUAUGUACGAGAGGAAGCGUAACGUGGUCGGGUAUUUGCACCCCAAAUUGUGCAAAGCAAUGCAUCGACUGGGAAUUUGCAGACGGUGGAGGUUGUUGGUGGCUUUUCAAAUGCAACUGCUACUUCAUCUACUGUGAUAUUAUUUGAGAAGAUAACUGAGUAGAUUGUGUUCAAAUGCAUCACAAUUUCGACGGAAGUACCGAAAAGUGCCUUUUUUUUGGGGGCAUAUUCUCAUAUGAAGUCCAAAACUAAUGCAAACUAGGGAUAGCAAAAGAGGUAUGGAUUAUGAGUAUAAAGAGUUGGCUAAUGAGUGUUUUGUACUCUUAUAAGCUCCUAGUUGGAGGCGCUUAUGCCGCAAGAGCCUCCAACCUCAUGACAAUGUAGUAACCAGAGGACCAUUUAAUGGUCACCGAAUGACGCAUAAUCAAAGGCGGUGUUGCCGGAAUGGCCUGGCCUUGGCUGAGGAGUGGGGCUUGGGACUACACUCGGUAGAGUCGGUUGCAGUUCGUUUGUGCCAUCAACAUCACGCAAUUGCCGAAAGGUAUGCUGAACGUUCCAGACACUCAAUCCCCUCAUGCGAUGCCCAAAUCAUCCUCAGCUAGUUGCCUAGGUGAAGCACCGUUGUGGAUGAGGAUGAUGCUCAAGCUGGAGAUGAUGGCGUGGGAAAGGCCACCAGGUGUCUGAUUUGAAACAAAUGUGAAGAAAGUGUGAUAGACUUCAAUGUCUAAAGGUAAUAAGAAUACAUUUGAAUUCUAAACUAAUCUAAUGAUCUUCUAUAACCUAUGGAUGAGUUAUCAUCUUCAUCUUUUGUAAUGUGAUUUGAUUGAAUGUAAUCACCUCUGUUUUGGAUGGUAUCAUCAAGUCCUCUGUUUUGGAUAGUAUCAACUUUAUCUUCCAAAUGUUGUGCUUGAACUGAAUGUGCUGCCUUAUCUUGAGUUGAAUGUUGAGCCAUAGUACCUGAUAGGAUAGUGACUUUAACAGCCCCGCAAGCUAAUGGGGGAACAACCAUGAGCUUGGAUUUUAAAAACAAAGUUGAGAGGAUGAUAAUCCUUUUGUAAAGAUAUUAACUACUUGAUUACUGGAGGAAAUAAACUUAACCAAAAUGUCAUGAUUAAGCACUUUUUCCCUAAUAAAGUGAUAGUCCACCUCGAUGUGUUUUGUUCGACCAUGAAACACGGGAUUUGAGGCGAGUGCAAGAGCGCUAACAUUAUCACACCAUAUUACAUUUGGUGUAUGGAAAGCACUAAAUAUAUUUUGAUAUG